Molecule: long non-coding RNA, 99 nt
Organism: Octopus sinensis (East Asian common octopus)
Lineage: Eukaryota; Metazoa; Mollusca; Cephalopoda; Octopoda; Octopodidae
Exons: 3
Source: RefSeq, a predicted model, not a curated record
UCAGUUUCUGUCUACCUAAUCCACUUACAAGGUUUUGGUUGGUCCAAGGUUAUAGCAGACCCUUGCCCAGAACCCGCAAGCUACUUACCACACAGCCAC